Molecule: ribosomal RNA, 446 nt
Filed under: uncultured bacterium
Lineage: Bacteria
Description: partial 16S ribosomal RNA
Rfam family: Bacterial small subunit ribosomal RNA
Source: RNAcentral
CCUACGGGGGGCUGCAGUCGAGAAUCAUUCACAAUGGGGGAAACCCUGAUGGUGCGACGCCGCGUGGGGGAAUGAAGGUCUUCGGAUUGUAAACCCCUGUCAUGUGGGAGCAAAUUAAAAAGAUAGUACCACAAGAGGAAGAGACGGCUAACUCUGUGCCAGCAGCCGCGGUAAUACAGAGGUCUCAAGCGUUGUUCGGAAUCACUGGGCGUAAAGCGUGCGUAGGCUGUUUCGUAAGUCGUGUGUGAAAGGCGCGGGCUCAACCCGCGGACGGCACAUGAUACUGCGAGACUAGAGUAAUGGGGGGGGAACCGGAAUCCUCGGUGUAGCAGUGAAAUGCGUAGAGAUCGAGAGGAACACUCGGGGCGAAGGGGGGUGCCGGGACAUUAACGGACGCGGGGGCACGAAGGCCAGGGGAGGGAAAGGGAUUAGAUACCCGGGUAGUC